AAUUUCCUCUCAAAAAGGUACAAGCUGAAUGAGUCCACCCUAUUUCAUAUACAAGAAGGCUGGAAGGGCAGCAGCCAGGAGCCUGCCUACAUGCCUGGCAGCACCUUUUAGUGACCACAGCUGCAGACCAGGACUUCCUGCAGGGCUGGGAAUGGCAGAGGCAGAAAAAGUUAAUGUCUGGAGGUGGUGGCUUCCCGCACGCAGGCAGCAGCUGUGCCCGGUCUCUCCAAUGCUGGGGUGCCCUUCCAGCUUACUGCUGACCCACCUUGCACUGCAGAGCUUGCAGCCUUGUCAGGGCACAUCUCGAGGCCAGCUCCCAGCAGCUGCCUGUCCUUCGUUAUUUUAGGAGUUUGGCAGCUGGCUUGCUCCAUCCUUCCCCUGGAGACCAGGAAAUGCAGAAUGUCUUUCCCAGGCUAAGCAGAAGCAGAUAUACUGUAGCAGUGCAAGGAGAUAGAUUUAUAUAAUUUCAAAGAACAAAACACGAAGAAAGAACCUUUGAAAUAAA
This 505-nucleotide long non-coding RNA is filed under the name Cyanistes caeruleus (blue tit). RNAcentral's name for it is "lncRNA (ENSCCEG00000015443.1)". Lineage: Eukaryota; Metazoa; Chordata; Aves; Passeriformes; Paridae. The record is from RNAcentral.